RNAcentral lists this small RNA (176 nucleotides) under Actinobacteria bacterium OK074. Its description in RNAcentral is "Streptomyces-metH RNA". It matches the Rfam family "Streptomyces-metH RNA". The record is from Rfam by way of RNAcentral. Lineage: Bacteria; Bacillati; Actinomycetota; Actinomycetes.
CCCGUCCGUCCCGUGGACGCCACUGACCGUACGGCCCGCCGGGGGCUACCCUGGCCGGGUGCGCCUUCCGCGGGAAGGUGGGCGGGUGGUCCGGCGGCCGAGCCGUACGUCCCCGCCGAUCCCCGUCACCGGGCGCAAAGCCGACAGCCGUCGCACUCCAGGGAGCAUCUUCCAUG